RNAcentral lists this ribosomal RNA (229 nucleotides) under uncultured bacterium. RNAcentral describes it as "partial 16S ribosomal RNA". It matches the Rfam family "Bacterial small subunit ribosomal RNA", at positions 568 to 796 of the family's 1533-position model. The record is from RNAcentral.
CACGUAGGCGGCCUGGUAAGUCAGAUGUGAAAGCCCUGGGCUUAACCCGGGAAGUGCAUUUGAUACUGUCAGGCUUGAGUAUGGGAGAGGGAAGUGGAAUUCCUGGUGUAGAGGUGAAAUUCGUAGAUAUCAGGAGGAACACCGGUGGCGAAGGCGACUUCCUGGACCAAUACUGACGCUGAGGUGCGAAGGCGUGGGUAGCAAACAGGAUUAGAUACCCUGGUAGUCC